This 460-nucleotide ribosomal RNA is filed under the name uncultured bacterium. RNAcentral's name for it is "partial 16S ribosomal RNA". It matches the Rfam family "Bacterial small subunit ribosomal RNA", at positions 338 to 795 of the family's 1533-position model. The record is from RNAcentral.
CCUACGGGAGGCAGCAGUGAGGAAUAUUGGUCAAUGGGCGCGAGCCUGAACCAGCCAAGUAGCGUGAAGGAUGACUGCCCUACGGGUUGUAAACUUCUUUUAUAAAGGAAUAAAGUGAGGCACGUGUGCCUUUUUGUAUGUACUUUAUGAAUAAGGAUCGGCUAACUCUGUGCCAGCAGCCGCGGUAAUACGGAGGAUCCGAGCGUUAUCCGGAUUUAGUGGGUUUAAAGGGAGCGUAGAUGGGUUGUUAAGUCAGUUGUGAAAGUUUGCGGCUCAACCGUAAAAUUGCAAUUGAUACUGGCAGCCUUGAGUACAGUUGAGGUAGGCGGAAUUCGUGGUGUAGCGGUGAAAUGCUUAGAUAUCACGAAGAACUCCGAUUGCGAAGGCAGCUUACUAAGCCAUAACUGACACUGAAGCACGAAAGCGUGGGGAUCAAACAGGAUUAGAUACCCCUGUAGUC